UUUGUGUGCAGUGCUAAUGGAAGUACGAUGGAUGAUAGACUACAUAAAUUAUUGUCGUGUGUGUGAUGGAUGAUACCACUUGCUUUUCAUAACAUAAAAGAUAUACAUCAAUUUUAGGAUUGACGAGGCCAUGUCCGCCUCGGCUUUCUGGGAUCUUGAACAAUGGAAUGACGAUACACACUGAAAUGGCAUACAGAAAUCUGAAUGCUCACACUUGCUACUUGCUAGAGCUGAUACUAGGCUUAUUUUCAUUAUGCCACUUGCUACUUGUAGUUGUCAUGGGUGCCCGUUGAAAUAAGUUGUUUUUGUUAACAUGAUAUUGGUCAAUUAAUUUUACAGACCUCUUAUUGGAAUUGGGGCUGCAACUAAAGUAGCAAACACGACUACGUGAGAAGGGUGAGAAUUAGUGGGAGCAGGGUAUGGAUGAGGAAGGAGCACCAGUAUCUUCAAUGUUGCUGCUGUUUCGUUUCCAUCCCUCUCACGUGUGAAGAAUUUUGUUGGAGCUGGAUGAGACUUUUGCCGUUCCCCUUGUACUCCUUCAUAUAAUCAGUUCACGUUUUCAAACCAUGUAAGGUCAACCUCCUGGGAUACACGAAGUUUCAGUUCGUCGAGAGGCUUCCUUGAGCUUCAAAACAUUUCACUUCAUCUU
Triticum aestivum (bread wheat) is the source of this 649-nucleotide long non-coding RNA. RefSeq lists it as uncharacterized. The record is from RefSeq and is a predicted model, not a curated record. The transcript is spliced from 3 exons. Lineage: Eukaryota; Viridiplantae; Streptophyta; Magnoliopsida; Poales; Poaceae.